Molecule: transfer RNA, 69 nt
Filed under: Marmota monax (woodchuck)
Lineage: Eukaryota; Metazoa; Chordata; Mammalia; Rodentia; Sciuridae
Description: tRNA.Gly
Source: RNAcentral
UGUGUUGCUCAGUGGUAGAACACUUGCCUACCAUGCCUGAGGCCUUGGGUUCAAUUGCCAGCUACACAC